RNAcentral lists this long non-coding RNA (1031 nucleotides) under Canis lupus familiaris (dog). RNAcentral's name for it is "lncRNA (ENSCAFG00000047958.2)". Lineage: Eukaryota; Metazoa; Chordata; Mammalia; Carnivora; Canidae. The record is from RNAcentral.
GAAUUCUGUGUUGGAAUAUAGUGAUAUGGGGAGAGUUGGCUCCUGGCCCGUAUCUCCACUCACUGUAUCAAUCCUGUGAUUGCCCCCUUUUAUCAGACUUCUGACUCUGUUGUGCACCUCAAGGGCCUCAUAUAUCUAAACUGUGUUCACAGAUCCUCAACCCUAAGCACUUCCUGGACCACCUCUCAGGCCUCGUGCACCAUGCUGACCACACAGCCUGUCUUCAAGACCCCGGAGAGAGGCCAUGAAGGCUUGACAUCAUUCGCUCGAGGGAUACCAGGAGCCACUAGCUGAAGCAUGAUGUAGACCUUUGCUACGCACAGCACCAGGGACAUAAUUAGAAAUGCAGCAUCUCAGAUCUGCUCCAGGAUGCCUAAAUUAGAAUCUGCACGUUGGCAAGAUCCUCAGGUGUUUCUUAAACACAUUUGGGUUAGCAAAACACAAACAAAAAGGAAGGGGUGUGGUGGGUAGAGGGUAGGAAGGGUAGCUGCUUGGUUCCAAGGCCUCCUCAGGCUAUGGACAGAGGCAUGGCCGAAAGAAGGCUAGGAUGGCGCUCGCUAAAAAGCAUGCUUGCCAAUGUCUGAAGGUCAAUAAAGGCCGGGCAGACCGCAAUACGGAUUCGGUAGGCCUAGCAUAAGAGACACAUGCCGCACUUCACGAAGGGGAUGCCGAGGGCGUCAGCCCUGCCUAAAGGGGGCAGCUGGUGAUCAUCUUCAGUUCACUGUGGCCCUGAGGAUGGAUAGCAGCCAUGAGAUGAAGGACCCCUGAGAAAUGAAAAGCAAACAAAGAACAACAAAAGCAACUUCGUUGGCUCCAGGACUGGGUUUGGCCCAUGGACAAAACUUAAGUUAUUUAUCCUAGUCCUGUGGCACAUAUGUAUAAAUUGCCUUGGGCUCUGCUUUCUACAACUGAAAUGCCACCGCAUGCUUCAACCAUUUACAUCUCAUCUCCUGAACCAGCUCAAGCUCUCGGAGAGUAGAGGCUGUGACUUCUACAUCUUCCUCCACAUUGCCUACCAAAUUCUACACUAA